GCUCAGGACGAACGCUGGCGGCGUGCUUAACACAUGCAAGUCGAGCGGUAAGGCACUUCGGUGUACACGAGCGGCGAACGGGUGAGUAACACGUGAGUAAUCUGCCCUUCACUCUGGGAUAAGCACUCGAAAGGGUGUCUAAUACCGGAUACGACGCACUCACGCAUGUGAUGUGUGUGGAAACUUUUGUGGGUGGGGGAUGUGCUCGCGGCCUAUCAGCUUGUUGGUGGGGUAAUGGCCUACCAAGGCUUCGACGGGUAGCCGGCCUGAGAGGGUGACCGGCCACACUGGGACUGAGACACGGCCCAGACUCCUACGGGAGGCAGCAGUGGGGAAUAUUGGACAAUGGGCGGAAGCCUGAUCCAGCAACGCCGCGUGAGGGAUGACGGCCUUCGGGUUGUAAACCUCUUUCAGUAUCGACGAAGCGCCCGUGUGGGUGGU
Molecule: ribosomal RNA, 441 nt
Filed under: Nocardioides plantarum
Lineage: Bacteria; Bacillati; Actinomycetota; Actinomycetes; Propionibacteriales; Nocardioidaceae
Description: bacterial SSU rRNA
Rfam family: Bacterial small subunit ribosomal RNA
Source: RNAcentral